Molecule: non-coding RNA, 21 nt
Filed under: Arabidopsis thaliana (thale cress)
Lineage: Eukaryota; Viridiplantae; Streptophyta; Magnoliopsida; Brassicales; Brassicaceae
Source: RNAcentral
UCACUCGGUGGUCAUUGGAUU